Molecule: ribosomal RNA, 106 nt
Filed under: Pteropus alecto (black flying fox)
Lineage: Eukaryota; Metazoa; Chordata; Mammalia; Chiroptera; Pteropodidae
Source: RNAcentral
GUCUGCAGCCAUGCUCCCCUGAACAAGCCCGAUCCCAUCUGAUCUCGGAAGCUAAGCCGUGUCAGGCUUGGUUAGUAAAAAAAACAACCUCAAAAGGUUAUAUGCU